AGGACGAACGCUGGCGGCGUGCCUAACACAUGCAAGUCGAACGAGAUCCAACUUGUGGCAACACUUGUGAAGAUCUAGUGGCGAACGGGUGAGUAACACGUGAGGAACCUACCCCGGAGACCGGGAUAACUGGCCGAAAGGCCAGCUAAUACCGGAUGUCCCCAUCGGAUCGCAUGGUCUGAUGUGGAAAUGGAUUCCGCUCCGGGAGGGCCUCGCGGCCCAUCAGCUCGUUGGUGAGGUAACGGCUCACCAAGGCAUCGACGGGUAGCUGGUCUGAGAGGACGACCAGCCACACUGGGACUGAGACACGGCCCAGACUCCUACGGGAGGCAGCAGUGGGGAAUCUUGCGCAAUGGGCGAAAGCCUGACGCAGCAACGCCGCGUGGGGAUGAAGGCCUUCGGGUUGUAAACCCUUUCAGCAGGGACGAAAGUUGACGGUACCUGCAGAAGAAGCCCGGCUAACUACGUGCCAGCAGCCGCGGU
This 483-nucleotide ribosomal RNA is filed under the name uncultured bacterium. RNAcentral's name for it is "SSU rRNA". It matches the Rfam family "Bacterial small subunit ribosomal RNA", at positions 26 to 521 of the family's 1533-position model. The record is from RNAcentral.